Molecule: ribosomal RNA, 436 nt
Filed under: uncultured Clostridium sp.
Lineage: Bacteria; Bacillati; Bacillota; Clostridia; Eubacteriales; Clostridiaceae
Description: partial 16S ribosomal RNA
Rfam family: Bacterial small subunit ribosomal RNA
Source: RNAcentral
ACGGGAGGCAGCAGUGGGGGAUAUUGCACAAUGGGCGCAAGCCUGAUGCAGCAACGCCGCGUGAGGGAAGACGGUUUUCGGAUUGUAAACCUCUGUCUUUGGUGACGAAGAAGUGACGGUAGCCAAGGAGGAAGCCACGGCCAACUACGUGCCAGCAGCCGCGGUAAUACGUAGGUGGCAAGCGUUACCCGGAAUUACUGGGUGUAAAGGGAGCGCAGGCGGGAUAGCAAGUCAGCGGUGAAAAUUAUGGGCUCAACCCAUAAACUGCCGUUGAAACUGUUAUUCUUGAGUGGAGUAGAGGCAGGCGGAAUUCCGAGUGUAGCGGUGAAAUGCGUAGAUAUUCGGAGGAACACCAGUGGCGAAGGCGGCCUGCUGGGCUCUAACUGACGCUGAGGCUCGAAAGUGUGGGGAGCAAACAGGAUUAGAUACCCUGGUA